Molecule: ribosomal RNA, 390 nt
Filed under: uncultured Sphingobacteriales bacterium
Lineage: Bacteria; Pseudomonadati; Bacteroidota; Sphingobacteriia; Sphingobacteriales
Description: bacterial SSU rRNA
Rfam family: Bacterial small subunit ribosomal RNA
Source: RNAcentral
GUUGACGUAUUCUGAAAGGAGUUACUCUUCGGACAAUAUACAAGGUGCUGCAUGGUUGUCGUCAGCUCGUGCCGUGAGGUGUCGGGUUAAGUCCCAUAACGAGCGCAACCCCUAUCAUUAGUUGCCAUCAGGUCAAGCUGGGGACUCUAAUGAAACUGCCUACGCAAGUAGUGAGGAAGGUGGGGAGUGACGUCAAAUCAGCACGGCCCUUACGUCCAGGGCUACACACGUGCUACAAUGGCCGAUACAGAGGGCAGCUACCUGGUGACAGGAUGCAAAUCUCCAAAGUCGGUCUCAGUUCGGAUCGGAGUCUGCAACCCGACUCCGUGAAGUUGGAUUCGCUAGUAAUCGCGCAUCAGCCAUGGCGCGGUGAAUACGUUCCCGGGCCUU